RNAcentral lists this long non-coding RNA (463 nucleotides) under Salmo salar (Atlantic salmon). RNAcentral's name for it is "lncRNA (ENSSSAG00000090261.1)". Lineage: Eukaryota; Metazoa; Chordata; Actinopteri; Salmoniformes; Salmonidae. The record is from RNAcentral.
GGAUGUUUACCUUGGUCACAGGGGGAUGGGCCAUUACCAUUGUGACGUCGGCGCCCAUGGGUACUCUCCCUUUUCAAAACAUUUUGAAAGACAAUGCAACCGUCCCAAUGGAAUAUUAUUGAAGCCCUGGUUGAAAAAGCCCCUAAAGAUUUAUGUUAUACAACAUUUGACAUGUUUGAACGAACUCAUUCCUGACGACAAGUCAGACGCACACGGUACAUUUUCACUAGCCUUCGGAGCGCGCUAACACUAUUGGGACAUAAAUUAUUAACUUUUUUGAACAAAACUACAUUUGUAAUGGACCUGGGAUUCCUAGAAGUGCCUUCUAAUAAAGAUAAUCAAAGAGUUCCCAGUUGUUUUGAAAGCAUCAUAAAUCCUGAGAAUGCCAGACCUUGAUGACAAAAUUUGCCCAUGAAGCCCACCUUCCUGUUCAAGUGAGCACAGCACAACAGCACAACAAGGU